AUUGAACGCUGGCGGCAGGCCUAACACAUGCAAGUCGAACGAGUGGCGGACGGGUGAGUAAUGUCUGGGAAACUGCCUGAGGGAGGGGGAUAACUACUGGAAACGGUAGCUAAUACCGCAUACCAUCAGAUGUGCCCAGAUGGGAUUAGCUUGUUGGUGGGGAAACGGCUCCCCAGGGCGACGAUCCCUAGCUGGUCUGAGAGGAGGACCCGCCACACUGGAACUGAGACAUGGUCCAGGCUCCGACGGGAGGCAGCAGUGGGGAAUAUUGGACAAUGGGCGAAAGCCUGAUGCAGCCAUGCCGCGUGUAUGAAGAGGGCCUUCGGGUUGUAAAGUACUUUCAGCGGGGAGGCGUUACCCGCAGAAGAAGCACCGGUUAAUUCCGUGCCAGAAGCCGCGUAAGAC
This 405-nucleotide ribosomal RNA is filed under the name uncultured bacterium. RNAcentral's name for it is "partial 16S ribosomal RNA". It matches the Rfam family "Bacterial small subunit ribosomal RNA", at positions 30 to 526 of the family's 1533-position model. The record is from RNAcentral.